UGAUCCUGGCUCAGGAUGAACGCUAGCGACAGGCUUAACACAUGCAAGUCGAGGGGCAGCGGUGGUGAAGGCUUGCCUUUACCAGCCGGCGACCGGCGCACGGGUGAGUAACACGUAUGCAACCUGCCUGCCACAGCCGGAUAAUCGGGAGAAAUUCCGUCUAAUACGGCAUAAUGCAUCGACGGGACAUCCUGUUGGUGCCAAAGGUUGAUUCCGGUGGCGGAUGGGCAUGCGUCGCAUUAGUUAGUUGGCGGUGUAACGGACCACCAAGACGACGAUGCGUAGGGGUUCUGAGAGGAAGGUCCCCCACACUGGUACUGAGACACGGACCAGACUCCUACGGGAGGCAGCAGUGAGGAAUAUUGGUCAAUGGGCGGGAGCCUGAACCAGCCAAGUCGCGUGAGGGAUGACGGCCCUAUGGGUUGUAAACCUCUUUUGCCGGGGAGCAAAGUGCCGCACGUGUGCGGUUUGGAGAGUACCCGGAGAAAAAGCAUCGGCUAACUCCGUGCCAGCAGCCGCGGUAAUACGGAGGAUGCGAGCGUUNUUCCGGAUUUAUUUGGGUUUUAAAGGGUGCGUAGGCGGACGCUUAAGUCAGCGGUAAAAAUUGCGGGGNUUCAACCUCGUCGAGCCCGUUGAAACUGGGUGCCUUUGAGUGGGCGAAGAAGUACGCGGAAAUGCGUGGUGUAGCGGUGAAAUGCAUAGAUAUCACGCAGAACUCCGAUUGCGAAGGCAGCGUACCGGGCGCCCAACUGACGCUGAAGCACGAAGGCGUGGGUAUCGAAACAGGAUUAGAUACCCUGGUAGUCCACGCAGUAAACGAUGAAUGCUAGUUGUCCGGGGCGAUUGAGUUCUGGGUAACACAGCNAAAGCGUUUAAGCAUUCCACCUUGGGGANGUACNCCGGCAACCGGUGAAANCUCAAAAGGAAUUUGACGGGGGGGCCCGCNNCAAGCCGGANGNAACAUGUUGGGUUUNAAUUUCNAUNNAUACNCCGANGAACCUUACCCGGGCUCAAACGCAGGAGGGAUGUUUUUGAAAGGAGGCAGCCAGCAAUGGUCUCCUGCGAGGUGCUGCAUGGUUGUCGUCAGCUCGUGCCGUGAGGUGUCGGCUUAAGUGCCAUAACGAGCGCAACCCCUACCUACAGUUGCCAUCGCGUGAUGGCGGGCACUCUGUGGGGACUGCCUGCGCAAGCAGUGAGGAAGGCGGGGAUGACGUCAAAUCAGCACGGCCCUUACGUCCGGGGCGACACACGUGUUACAAUGGCAGGUACAGCGGGAAGCCACCCGGCGACGGGGCGCGGAACCCGAAAACCUGUCUCAGUUCGGAUUGGAGUCUGCAACCCGACUCCAUGAAGCUGGAUUCGCUAGUAAUCGCGCAUCAGCCACGGCGCGGUGAAUACGUUCCCGGGCCUUGUACACACCGCCCGUCAAGCCAUGGAAGCCGGGGGUGCCUGAAGUGCGUGACCGCAAGGAGCUCCAUAGGGUAAAACCGGUGACUGGGGCUAAGUCGUAANCAAGGUAAC
This 1521-nucleotide ribosomal RNA is filed under the name uncultured bacterium. Its description in RNAcentral is "bacterial SSU rRNA". It matches the Rfam family "Bacterial small subunit ribosomal RNA". The record is from RNAcentral.